UUUAUGGAGAGUUUGAUCCUGGCUCAGGAUGAACGCUGGCGGCGUGCCUAAUACAUGCAAGUCGAGCGAACGGACGAGAAGCUUGCUUCUCUGAUGUUAGCGGCGGACGGGUGAGUAACACGUGGAUAACCUACCUAUAAGACUGGGAUAACUUCGGGAAACCGGAGCUAAUACCGGAUAAUAUUUUGAACCGCAUGGUUCAAAAGUGAAAGACGGUCUUGCUGUCACUUAUAGAUGGAUCCGCGCUGCAUUAGCUAGUUGGUAAGGUGACGGCUUACCAAGGCAACGAUGCAUAGCCGACCUGAGAGGGUGAUCGGCCACACUGGAACUGAGACACGGUCCAGACUCCUACGGGAGGCAGCAGUAGGGAAUCUUCCGCAAUGGGCGAAAGCCUGACGGAGCAACGCCGCGUGAGUGAUGAAGGUCUUCGGAUCGUAAAACUCUGUUAUUAGGGAAGAACAUAU
This 464-nucleotide ribosomal RNA is filed under the name Staphylococcus aureus. Its description in RNAcentral is "bacterial SSU rRNA". It matches the Rfam family "Bacterial small subunit ribosomal RNA", at positions 1 to 454 of the family's 1533-position model. Lineage: Bacteria; Bacillati; Bacillota; Bacilli; Caryophanales; Staphylococcaceae. The record is from RNAcentral.